This is a non-coding RNA of Macaca mulatta (Rhesus monkey), 1036 nucleotides long. The record is from RefSeq and is a predicted model, not a curated record. NCBI's taxonomy places the organism in Eukaryota, Metazoa, Chordata, Mammalia, Primates, Cercopithecidae.
CAGCAAACAAAAUGAUUUAUUGAGCCAAUUCAAACGAACUCUAUCAAAACACACAAAGGCCUGGAGGAGAGAUUACAAUGAAACUUUGGAUCUUAUCAGCUCAGACAGCAUGGACUAUAUUCUACUGAAACGAUUUUUUUCAAAGAGGCAUAAACCAUAGUCUUCCAAAGAGAGGCUGCUGUGGACACUCUAGAGAAUUUACCAAAAAAAUGUCCAUGAAAAUUCCCCAGUGGAACCAUGUGUGAAUCCAGAUUUUUCUGCAGUGUGGUCCAGCAAGAAACCAAGCGCUCGCAUCCUUCCUCACAGCCGCUUGGGAUUUAUCUGUACCUGUUCACGCAGCAUCUCUAAGGUUUUCAUCUGCUUGUUUCUCAACUCUUUGUCUCGGGCAAAGGCAAAAUACCCAACGCCGAGUUGCCGGGCCUCUGAAAGAAGUGCAAAUUACCCAAAAGAUCAGACUGUCCUGAUCAUUCAACUACACUCAAGCCACAUUUCCUACCAAAGCAAAAAGAAACACAGUGAUAUUCGGCACAAGUUUUAAAAAGAAAAAGAAAACAGCUAAGUGAAAAAAAAAAACACCAAAGAAACACAAAAGUUAGACCAAGUUUUCGUCCUGUUGGCCAAGGGAAGCAUAACAAGCGUUCGUUUGCUUUCAGCCAUGGGCUGUCUCCACUUCUCUUGGGAAACAAUCCCUUGGAUUACCAGACCCUCUGUCAGGAAGAUAUUCCCAAUAUGACCAGGCCCUGAGAAGCUCAAGGUUUCCACUCUCCCUUUCUUAUGCCAAGACAAAGGCUAUCUGCUGGAUGCCUGAACCUGCAGGAUUUGGACAAGGUAGAGUUUCUCCCAACACUUCUCACAUAAAAGUUCCUGUAGUAAGAGGAAUUUAUUUUCCUGGAUGUUUCAGAGCUAUCUCUUAGGUCUUGUGUUUUAGAGUUACCUCUCAGAUUUUAUGUUUUAGAGUUAUCUCUUAGGUCUUAGGUCCUGCUGAAAAAUCUAGUUAUAAGGUCCUUGGCCAGGCAUGGUGGCUCACGCCUGUAAU